AGAAGCGCCCAUCAUCAUCCAGCUGAAACCAUCGGUCGAUCGCUCGCCGGACACGCACGCGCACGUCGGAGGUGGUUGAUCGAUAGAUAGAUAGGUGAUGGAGAACGACAGGAACAACCAGGCUCCGCCACCACCCCCAGGUUACUACCCGUCGGCGGCUGCGGAGCAACGUCAAGCCGGUGGUGGCGGGAAGAAGUCACGCCGGGGGAGCACCAAAUCCAGGGGCGAGAAGGGAUUCGAAGGAUGCCUGGCGGCACUCUGCUGCUGCUGGAUCUGCGAGAUGUGCCGCGACUAACCGGCCGGCGAGGUCACUGCCGGCAAAAGACGUUGGUGCUAGUGCCUAUGAAGAACAUACACAUACAGAGAGUCGCUGCGUAAUUACAGUGUUUGUUCGUUUGUUGUUUUAGGUUCUGCGGAAGUAACCCUUGUGUUCGUGUGUGAUGUCCAUGUAGGCAUGUACCGUGCGUCACAACUAUAAUCAAUUUUAAGGCGCCAAAUUAUUGGGCUACUGUUGAG
This is a long non-coding RNA of Triticum aestivum (bread wheat), 516 nucleotides long. RefSeq lists it as uncharacterized. The transcript is spliced from 3 exons. Lineage: Eukaryota; Viridiplantae; Streptophyta; Magnoliopsida; Poales; Poaceae. The record is from RefSeq and is a predicted model, not a curated record.